UUCCGCCAAAGUGAGGGAAGCAAGCGACAUGGUUUACUCCUACAACGCCACCUCUACCACCAACCACCAAGGAUGUUGCUUGUUGGUAUCAUCAGUUUGGAGAUUAAUUAGUUACUGUUUUUUUCUCCGUUGAUGACCCUCCGUUUUCUUUCUUUCAUUCCAGGCUAAGAGGAACGUUUGUAUCGCCGGUGGUCUUCAGACUCUAAGGAAUUCUAGGGUUUACGGGAAACGUAUGGAUUGCAGCUAAUUUUUCUUUUGUUUUUGCUCCUUUAUUUUCUCUCACUUGCAUUUUUUACUGUCAUGUUGUAAAACCCUG
This 316-nucleotide long non-coding RNA is filed under the name Zostera marina. Its description in RNAcentral is "long non-coding RNA (ZMAR_LNC002275)". Lineage: Eukaryota; Viridiplantae; Streptophyta; Magnoliopsida; Alismatales; Zosteraceae. The record is from RNAcentral.